Molecule: ribosomal RNA, 1345 nt
Filed under: uncultured bacterium
Lineage: Bacteria
Description: partial 16S ribosomal RNA
Rfam family: Bacterial small subunit ribosomal RNA
Source: RNAcentral
GACGAACGCUGGCGGCGUGCUUAACACAUGCAAGUCGAACGGAAAGGCCCUGCUUUUGUGGGGUGCUCGAGUGGCGAACGGGUGAGUAACACGUGAGUAACCUGCCCUUGACUUUGGGAUAACUUCAGGAAACUGGGGCUAAUACCGGAUAGGAGCUCCUGCUGCAUGGUGGGGGUUGGAAAGUUUCGGCGGUUGGGGAUGGACUCGCGGCUUAUCAGCUUGUUGGUGGGGUAGUGGCUUACCAAGGCUUUGACGGGUAGCCGGCCUGAGAGGGUGACCGGCCACAUUGGGACUGAGAUACGGCCCAGACUCCUACGGGAGGCAGCAGUGGGGAAUAUUGCACAAUGGGCGGAAGCCUGAUGCAGCAACGCCGCGUGCGGGAUGACGGCCUUCGGGUUGUAAACCGCUUUCGCCUGUGACGAAGCGUGAGUGACGGUAAUGGGUAAAGAAGCACCGGCUAACUACGUGCCAGCAGCCGCGGUGAUACGUAGGGUGCGAGCGUUGUCCGGAUUUAUUGGGCGUAAAGGGCUCGUAGGUGGUUGAUCGCGUCGGAAGUGUAAUCUUGGGGCUUAACCCUGAGCGUGCUUUCGAUACGGGUUGACUUGAGGAAGGUAGGGGAGAAUGGAAUUCCUGGUGGAGCGGUGGAAUGCGCAGAUAUCAGGAGGAACACCAGUGGCGAAGGCGGUUCUCUGGGCCUUUCCUGACGCUGAGGAGCGAAAGCGUGGGGAGCGAACAGGCUUAGAUACCCUGGUAGUCCACGCUGUAAACGGUGGGUACUAGGCGUGGGGUCCAUUCCACGGGUUCCGUGCCGUAGCUAACGCUUUAAGUACCCCGCCUGGGGAGUACGGCCGCAAGGCUAAAACUCAAAGGAAUUGACGGGGCCCCGCACAAGCGGCGGAGCAUGCGGAUUAAUUCGAUGCAACGCGUAGAACCUUACCUGGGUUUGACAUGGAUCGGGAGUGCUCAGAGAUGGGUGUGCCUCUUUUGGGGUCGGUUCACAGGUGGUGCAUGGCUGUCGUCAGCUCGUGUCGUGAGAUGUUGGGUUAAGUCCCGCAACGAGCGCAACCCUUGUUCACUGUUGCCAGCACGUUAUGGUGGGGACUCAGUGGAGACCGCCGGGGUCAACUCGGAGGAAGGUGGGGAUGACGUCAAGUCAUCAUGCCCCUUAUGUCCAGGGCUUCACGCAUGCUACAAUGGCUGGUACAGAGAGUGGCGAGCCUGUGAGGGUGAGCGAAUCUCGGAAAGCCGGUCUCAGUUCGGAUUGGGGUCUGCAACUCGACCUCAUGAAGUCGGAGUCGCUAGUAAUCGCAGAUCAGCAACGCUGCGGUGAAUACGUUCCCGGGGC